GUCUUAAAGACACAGCGCACCUAUAUAGAUUUCUUGUAUUGUGUGUUUUAUGAGCUGUUACACUGAUUAGGGUGCUGAUUUUUUCCAUAAUUUAUCACUUUGAGGCGGAUGGCAUUGGGCGGUCCACAAAAUUAUGCGUUUUAAUAUGCUUUCGGUUAAUUUUGCUGUAUGUAUGUAUGUUGUAUGCAGCAUUCGCCUGAUUGUGAAACUACCGAACAAUCAGAC
Pelobates cultripes (western spadefoot toad) is the source of this 225-nucleotide non-coding RNA. Lineage: Eukaryota; Metazoa; Chordata; Amphibia; Anura; Pelobatidae. The record is from the annotation of a GenBank genome assembly.